This 253-nucleotide ribosomal RNA is filed under the name uncultured bacterium. Its description in RNAcentral is "partial 16S ribosomal RNA". It matches the Rfam family "Bacterial small subunit ribosomal RNA", at positions 524 to 776 of the family's 1533-position model. The record is from RNAcentral.
UACAGAGGUGGCAAGCGUUGUUCGGAAUUACUGGGCGUAAAGGGCGCGUAGGUGGCCUUGUUAGUCAGACGUGAAAUCCCCAAGCUUAACUUGGGAACUGCGUCUGAUACUGCAAGGCUUGAGUUCGGGAGAGGGAUGUGGAAUUCCAGGUGUAGCGGUGAAAUGCGUAGAUAUCAGGAGGAACACCGAUGGCGAAGGCAGGUCUCUGGGCUGACACUGACGCUCAUGCACGAAAGCGUGGGGAGCAAACAGG